CAGUGAAAUCUCACGGCUUAACUGUGAGCGUGCGGGCGAUACGGGCAGACUUGAGUACUGCAGGGGAGACUGGAAUUCCUGGUGUAGCGGUGGAAUGCGCAGAUAUCAGGAGGAACACCGGUGGCGAAGGCGGGUCUCUGGGCAGUAACUGACGCUGAGGAGCGAAAGCGUGGGGAGCGAACAGGAUUAGAUACCCUGGUAGUCCACGCCGUAAACGGUGGGUACUAGGUGUGGGUUUCCUUCCUUGGGAUCCGUGCCGUAGCUAACGCAUUAAGUACCCCGCCUGGGGAGUACGGCCGCAAGGCUAAAACUCAAAGAAAUUGACGGGGGCCCGCACAAGCGGCGGAGCAUGUGGAUUAAUUCGAUGCAACGCGAAGAACCUUACCUGGGUUUGACAUGCACAGGACGCCGGCAGAGAUGUCGGUUCCCUUGUGGCCUGUGUGCAGGUGGUGCAUGGCUGUCGUCAGCUCGUGUCGUGAGAUGUUGGGUUAAGUCCCGCAACGAGCGCAACCCUUGUCUCAUGUUGCCAGCGGGUAAUGCCGGGGACUCGUGAGAGACCGCCGGGGUCAACUCGGAGGAAGGUGGGGAUGACGUCAAGUCAUCAUGUCCCUUAUGUCCAGGGCUUCACACAUGCUACAAUGGCCGGUACAAAGGGCUGCGAUGCCGCGAGGUUAAGCGAAUCCUUUUAAAGCCGGUCUCAGUUCGGAUCGGGGUCUGCAACUCGACCCCGUGAAGUCGGAGU
Molecule: ribosomal RNA, 742 nt
Filed under: uncultured bacterium
Lineage: Bacteria
Description: bacterial SSU rRNA
Rfam family: Bacterial small subunit ribosomal RNA
Source: RNAcentral